This 697-nucleotide ribosomal RNA is filed under the name uncultured bacterium. RNAcentral's name for it is "bacterial SSU rRNA". It matches the Rfam family "Bacterial small subunit ribosomal RNA", at positions 58 to 744 of the family's 1533-position model. The record is from RNAcentral.
CAAGUCGAGGGGCAGCGGGAUUGAAGCUUGCUUCAACUGCCGGCGACCGGCGCACGGGUGAGUAACGCGUAUCCAACCUUCCGUACACUCAGGGAUAGCCUUUCGAAAGAAAGAUUAAUACCUGAUGGUAUGAUGAGAUUGCAUGAUAGCAUCAUUAAAGAUUCAUCGGUGUACGAUGGGGAUGCGUUCCAUUAGGUAGUAGGCGGGGUAACGGCCCACCUAGCCUACGAUGGAUAGGGGUUCUGAGAGGAAGGUCCCCCACAUUGGAACUGAGACACGGUCCAAACUCCUACGGGAGGCAGCAGUGAGGAAUAUUGGUCAAUGGACGAGAGUCUGAACCAGCCAAGUAGCGUGAAGGAUGAAGGUCCUACGGAUUGUAAACUUCUUUUAUAAGGGAAUAAAACCUCCCACGUGUGGGAGCUUGUAUGUACCUUAUGAAUAAGCAUCGGCUAACUCCGUGCCAGCAGCCGCGGUAAUACGGAGGAUGCGAGCGUUAUCCGGAUUUAUUGGGUUUAAAGGGAGCGCAGACGGGUCGUUAAGUCAGCUGUGAAAGUUUGGGGCUCAACCGUAAAAUUGCAGUUGAAACUGCGUGUCUUGAGUACAGUAGAGGUGGGCGGAAUUCGUGGUGUAGCGGUGAAAUGCUUAGAUAUCACGAAGAACUCCGAUUGCGAAGGCAGCUCACUGGACUGCAACUGAC